GCAGUCGAGCGGCAAGUCGAGGAGUAAUCUAAGACCUAGAGCGGCGCACGGGUGCGUAACGCGUAUGCAACCUACCUUAUACUGAGGGAUAGCCCGGAGAAAUCUGGAUUAAUACCUCAUGGUACAUAUUGAAGGCAUCUGAGAUAUGUUAAAGAUUUAUUGGUAUAAGAUGGGCAUGCGUCUGAUUAGCUAGUUGGCGGUGUAACGGACCACCAAGGCGACGAUCAGUAGGGGUUCUGAGAGGAAGGUCCCCCACACUGGCACUGAGAUACGGGCCAGACUCCUACGGGAGGCAGCAGUAGGGAAUAUUGGGCAAUGGUCGGAAGACUGACCCAGCCAUGCCGCGUGCAGGAAGACGGCCCUCUGGGUUGUAAACUGCUUUUAUCUGGGAAGAAAAAGGCCAUGCGUGGCAAAUUGCCGGUACCAGAUGAAUAAGCACCGGCUAACUCCGUGCCAGCAGCCGCGGUAAUACGGAGGGUGCAAGCGUUGUCCGGAUUUAUUGGGUUUAAAGGGUGCGUAGGCGGCUAUUUAAGUCAGCGGUGAAAGACUUCAGCUUAACUGGAGCAGUGCCAUUGAUACUGGAUAGCUUGAGUGUUGGAGGGGUACAUGGGAUUGAUGGUGUAGCGGUGAAAUGCAUAGAUACC
RNAcentral lists this ribosomal RNA (644 nucleotides) under bacterium SL2.27. Its description in RNAcentral is "bacterial SSU rRNA". It matches the Rfam family "Bacterial small subunit ribosomal RNA", at positions 57 to 698 of the family's 1533-position model. The record is from RNAcentral.